RNAcentral lists this ribosomal RNA (492 nucleotides) under uncultured bacterium. Its description in RNAcentral is "partial 16S ribosomal RNA". It matches the Rfam family "Bacterial small subunit ribosomal RNA", at positions 29 to 507 of the family's 1533-position model. The record is from RNAcentral.
AGUGAACGCUGGCGGUAGGCCUAACACAUGCAAGUCGAACGGCAGCACCGUAAGAGCUUGCUCUUACGGGUGGCGAGUGGCGGACGGGUGAGGAAUACAUCGGAAUCUACUUUUUCGUGGGGGAUAACGUAGGGAAACUUACGCUAAUACCGCAUACGACCUACGGGUGAAAGCAGGGGAUCUUCGGACCUUGCGCGAUUGAAUGAGCCGAUGUCGGAUUAGCUAGUUGGCGGGGUAAAGGCCCACCAAGGCGACGAUCCGUAGCUGGUCUGAGAGGAUGAUCAGCCACACUGGAACUGAGACACGGUCCAGACUCCUACGGGAGGCAGCAGUGGGGAAUGUUGGACAAUGGGCGCAAGCCUGAUCCAGCCAUAGCGCGUGGGUGAAGAAGGCGUUCGGGUUGUAAAGCCCUUUUGUUGGGAAAGAAAAGCAGCAGGUUAAUACCCCGCUGUUCUGACGGUACCCAAAGAAUAAGCACCGGCUAACUUCGUG